AUUGAACGCUGGCGGCAGGCUUAACACAUGCAAGUCGAGCGAGCGGCGGACGGGUGAGUAAUGUCUGGGAAACUGCCUGAUGGAGGGGGAUAACUACUGGAAACGGUAGCUAAUACCGCAUACCAUCAGAUGUGCCCAGAUGGGAUUAGCUAGUAGGUGGGGUAAUGGCUCACCUAGGCGACGAUCCCUAGCUGGUCUGAGAGGAUGACCGGCCACACUGGAACGGAGACACGGUCAAGAGUCCUACGGGAGGCAGCAGUGGGGAAUAUUGCACAAUGGGCGCAAGCCUGAUGCAGCCAUGCCGCGUGUGUGAAGAAGGCCUGCGGGUUGUAAAGUACUUUCAGCGAGGAGGCGUUACUCGCAGAAGAAGCACCGGCUAACUCCGUGCCAGCAGCCGCGGUAAUUC
This 406-nucleotide ribosomal RNA is filed under the name uncultured bacterium. RNAcentral's name for it is "partial 16S ribosomal RNA". It matches the Rfam family "Bacterial small subunit ribosomal RNA", at positions 30 to 526 of the family's 1533-position model. The record is from RNAcentral.